CACAGCGGCCUUGGGUUUGGGCUCCAGCCCCAGCCGGGCCCCCUCGCGCCGCUGCGGCUGCUGCGCGGUGAGGUCGUGACAAGUCACAGCUAACUUGCCCUCCGCGCCAUUCCACGCCACCAGGAAGCGCAGCCGGUGCCUCUCGGCAUCGGCGAAGAGGCCUUGCCGGACCGGCGCCCAGCCCUCCAGGCUGUCGAGCUGCUCGUCCUCCAUGGCCGUCGGCGGCAGCGGCCCUAGGACUCGGCGGGCGCGGGCCUGACCUCGUCGCACUGCCUGUCAGGGGACAGUCCCAGGCUGGAGUGCAAUGGCAUGAUCUCGGCUCACUGCGACCUCUGCCUCUUGGGUUCAAGCGAUUUUCUUGCCUCAGCCUUCGCAGUAGCUGGGAUUACAGGCAUAACUGAAGGUGAAAGGACAGAAUCACCGUGUGUUACUGGCACAGAUGCAUCGGCUAGUGAAGAAAGAAGACAUUCAAACUAGUCCCGCUCUGUCGCCCAGUCUGGAGUGCAGCAGCGCCAUCAUAGCUCACUGCCACCUAGAAGCCGGGGUGAAGCAAUCCUCCUCCAUCAGCCUUCAGAGUAGCUGGGACUACCUGCGCGGCCCACCACAGCCGGCUAAUCUUUGUGGUUUUUCUUUUGUUUUCCGUUCUGGGUUUCCGUCGGGCGCAGUGGCUCAGGCCUGCAAUCCCAGCACUUUGGAAGGCAGAGGUGGGCGGAUCACCCGAGGUCGGAGACCAGCCUGACCAACAUGAAGAAAUCCCGUCUCUACUAAAAAAAAGAAAAAAACUACAAAAUUAGCCGGAUAUGGUGGCUCAUGCCUGUAAUCCCAGCUACUAGGGAGGCCCAGGCAGGAGAAUCACCUAAAUCCGGGAGGCCGAGGUUGCGGUGGGCAAAGAUCACACCAUUGCACUCCAGCCUGGACAACAAGGGUGAAACUCCGUCUCAAAACAGAGACCGGGUUUCACCAUGUUGCCCAGGCGGUCUGGAACUCCUAGGCUCAAGCGAUCUGCCACACUCGGCCUUCCAAAGUCCUGGGAUCACAAGGGGGAGGCACCACGCCAGGCAGAUCUAUUCCUUUCUGGUUACUAAAUUGGACCGGGGGCGCGGUGGCUCACGCCUGCAAUCCCAGCACCCAGGGAGGCGGAGGCGGGCGUAUCACUCGAGGUCAGGAGCUCGAGAUCAGCCUGACCAACACGGAGAAACCCCGUCUGUACCAAAAAAAUAAAACCAAAAUUAGCUGGCAUGGUGGCUCAUGCCUGCAAUCCCAGACACUCAGGAGGCUGAGGCAGGAGAACCACCUAAACCCGGGAGGUGGAGGCCGCGGUGAGUCGAGACCACGCCACUGCACUCCAGCCUGCAAAACGAGCGAAACUCCACUCAAAAAAAAAAAAAAAAAAGACAGUGUUUCACCACGUUGCCCAGGCCGGUCUGGAAGUCCUAGGCUCAAUCGAUCGCCGCGCUCGGCCGUCCACAGUACUGGGAUCACAAGCAUGAGCUACCACGCCAGGCCGAUCUAUUCCUUUCUGGUUACUAAAUUGGACCGGGGGCACGGUGGCUCACGCCUGCAAUCCCAGCACCCAGGGAGGCGGAGGCGGGUGGAUCACCCGAGGUCAGGAGCUUGAGAUCAGCCCGACCAACACGGAGAAACCCCGUCUGUACAAAAAAAAAACACCAAAAUUAGCUGGCAUGGUGGCUCAUGCCUGCAAUCCCAGCCACUCAGGAGGCUUAGGCAGGAGAACCACCUAACCGGGAGGUGGAGGCCGCGGUGAGUCGAGACCGGAAAACACUCUAGCCUGGAAAACGAGCGAAACUCCACUCAAAAAAAAAAAAAAAAAAAAAAAAAAAAGACCGUGUUUCACCAUGUCGUCCAGGCUGGUCUGGAACUCCUAGAACAUGUAGAUGUUACCUCAUUUGGAAAAAGCAGAUUUUCAGGUAUGAUUAAGUUAAGGAUCUUGAAGAGAGAUUAUCCUGGAUUGUCUCCGUGGGCAUUAAAUCCUGGCACAUAUAUCCUUAUAAGAGGGAGAUAAAGGAGAUUUAACUUCAGACAGAAGAGAAGGAGGCCCUGUGACCAAGAAGGCAGAGCCUGGAGUGGUGGAGCUGCAAGCCAAUGAAUGCCAGCAGCCAUCAGAAGCUGCGCAAGUCAAAGGAUGGAUUUUCCCCUCAGCCUCUGAGAGCACUGGCUCUGCUGAGACCUAGAUUUCAGCCCAGUGAUACUGAUUUUGGACUUCUGAUAUCCAAAACUGUGAGAAAAUAAAUUUCUGUUGUUUUAAGUCACCACAUUUUUGGUAAUUUGCUCUAACAGCCACAGGAAAGUAACAUACAUGCCUACCUGGGUCCAGUUGUGUCCUGUGACUCCUGCUUU
Molecule: long non-coding RNA, 2358 nt
Filed under: Homo sapiens (human)
Lineage: Eukaryota; Metazoa; Chordata; Mammalia; Primates; Hominidae
Description: HSALNT0218187
Source: RNAcentral